AAAUGCGAUAAGUAAUGUGAAUUGCAGAAUUCAGUGAAUCAUCGAAUCUUUGAACGCACAUUGGGCCCGCCAGUAUUCUGGCGGGCAUGCCUGUUCGAGCGUCAUUUCAACCAUCAAGCCCCCGGCUUGUGUUGGGGACCUGCGGCUGCCCGCAGGCCCUGAAAAACAGUGGCGGGCUCGCUGUCACACCGAGCGUAGUAGCAUACAUUCUCGCUCAGGGCGUGCUGCGGGUUCCGGCCGUUAAACGACCUUCAUAACCCAAGGUUGACCUCGGAUCAGGUAGGAAGACCCGCCGAACUUAAGC
Molecule: unclassified non-coding RNA, 304 nt
Filed under: plant metagenome
Description: partial contains 5.8S ribosomal RNA, internal transcribed spacer 2, and large subunit ribosomal RNA
Rfam family: 5.8S ribosomal RNA (bases 1-104)
Source: RNAcentral